UUUUUGUGAUAUAGCUUCUGUUUUGGCCUCGAUAUAUUCUCCCUUUGUGCUGAAGUAUCCCUUUUAUGCUUGAGCGGAAUGCAUUUCUUUUGCACUUCUUUUACCUUCACUCUGCACACUGUACACGUGUACAGCUUGUGUACACGCUUUGCUUGCACACGACGCAGAAAACCUUUGCCGUUUCUGUUGAAUUAAGACACGCCGACGUUUUCUUUGUAGGAUGUUGUUUCUUGGUUUGAAUGCGUUGAGACAUAAUGACCGGAGGAGCAUGUGUACAGUUACUGUAAUGAGCAGUGUGUUUACAUAGCUCCGAACGAUAAAACGUGUACAAAUAAUAAGACAUUUUAGUGGUUGUGAAACUUCCUGUUAAAGUACAAGACUUGUAAAAAGCAACAUGCAAGUAAAUUUACUGCAAAUCAGAGUAUUUUUUUACCACAAGACAUUGGAACUCCAGUGACUCGAUCGAACAAACCACCUCCUGCCCACAUUAAAAGUGAUAGUACGUUUGAAACCGGAAAUUCUCAGAGAUAAAAAUAAUUGAGCUCUUUUAAUCAAACCUUUUGGUUUCUGUCUCGCAUGAUUGCAACAAAGGUGCGAGAUCUCUUCAGCAGAGGCAACGCAAACUAACCUUCGGCUGUAUUGUAAAAUGAGCACCUUUACAAACAUGUCCUUUUAUAUGUUCUAACGUACAAGUACAAGAACAGGCUCAAAGAUUAUUUUUAAUGUGUUCUCGGGCGCCACGGUUUGCUGGGACUGGUCACAAACCAGUAUGAACCAGAUCCCCCUGUUCCAACCAUUGUUCCGUACACGCCGGCGUUGUAAGAUCGGAGGUUCUCGGUCUUAGAUCCCGCCUUUUCCUUUGGGUUCUAAACGCAAAAAAGCACUAAAGCUACAAAAACAUCUGCACAGCGAGGGAAAAAUAACGGGGAUUUUUUUCUCCCUUUCCUUCAGAGAUUACUCUCCUUUACGAACCAAACUCGUUGCGAACCGAUUGUUUAAAACGUGCCACAUGCUACUUGUUGUGGAGCCGCGUCAGUCUUUGUCUGUCGUGAUCACGACAGUUGCACACAAAGGGUGGAGGAAGAAGAGAAGCGGAGAGGGCGCAGCGAUGAUGGCCAGCAAGAGAGAAAAUAAAUGUAUUACCCCCCCCACCGCCGCCCUCCGCCCCCCACUACCCCCACACUGGCUGUCCUGAAAUGAACUUGCUCGAUGACACGUUGUUUGGAAAGCCACAUCCUCCGCUAGUUGCGUUUUUAUCUUCCGGUUGCAGAGUGACUCUGUGGUUAACAGGAUCAAAGUCUCUAUCUUUUGAGGGGUGUUGUUGCUUUCAUCAGGUCGUGCUGCAUGAACGCAUCUAGCUGAUGGCAAACACGUCUUGGGCUAUGAACAGCAUUUGAUCUGGCUCUUCAGGCCACCGCUGGUUCGCAUUAACUGUUUUAGCAAAAAGCCACCAGACAUCCAUCUUGAGAUUUAUGUGUGGAAGGUCCAGAUGUUCCACCAGUGACCUUGCAUUAGUUUCACUGUGUGGAAUAUUGGAUUGGUUUCCUGCAACAAGAUCCGCGUAUGACAAAUAGAUUUCGAUUGUCCAUACAUUCAUUCACUCGUUGUAUUGACAUCAAGCUGCCAACUUUGAAUACAACAAACAAUACAAAUAGUCAUUUUUCACCGUGGUCUCUUGUUAAAGUCGGUGUCUAGUUAAGAUUCAUAUUUCACAUGGUUCUGACACACACCUACAGAAGACAACACAUGCAGUGAGCAUUUUCAAAGGUUUCUGAUUACACGGGCAGCCCAAAGAAUUUUAGAUGCAGAAUUUGUAUUUAAGCAUUUAUGGUUUUGUCAGCCUGCAUCACAAUUAAAUCAAUUUGAAACCUUUGGUUUGCACUAUGCCCUUUAUUCAACAUGCAUUGGGUAGAAGCGGUAGCAGUAUAUAUGUUAUCUUAGAAGUGGCAUUGUAACUUGAAUCUUGCAGUGGCUCCCAGCCCGGGGUCCGGACCCCCGAAAGGGGCGUAAGAUUGAAACCCCAGUGAAACAGAAGUCGGAGCGCGUUUAGCUUCUGUAAAGUUAAAAAGGAUGUUUGAGCGCUGCACAAAAGACGUAUAGAUCAAAUCUUUUGCGUUUUGUUGGGGCGCUAAAAAGUCAAUGAGCUUAAGUGUAGGUUCAUUGUGGAGGAACGGCACGAUGUGAUCGGUUAAAAACUGUUGGCACUAAUUUGCAAUAGCACACAUCUAGCUUUUCUUCACAGGAGGAAAAGAUUGGACAAAUAAAUACCAUCAGUUUUAGUCCUUUUUUCCCCCCAUUUCUAACAAACGGAAAACAUCCAUUAUACUAUUAUGAGAAGGUGGAGAAGGAGGUUUUAUUCAUAACUGUACAAAACCUUACAAUUACCCUAAUAGAUAAAGACUAACAUCUGCCAUUAGAUCGUCAUUGUCAACUGAAAUAAAAUCACUAAGGAUUAUUUAGUAUAGCUCAUUUGUAAAUGAUGUUCCAAAUAAGAUUGUUGGCCUGCUGACUUGACCUUAUUAAAUCUCAAUCUGCAACGCAGAUGAUGAGAUUCAACUGACACCACGGGCUCGUACAUAACAGAACCAGUUGCCCAACAUACGGACAAAGUGUGCUUUGCGCGGAGCAUCUGGCAGUGAGCUCUGCCACCGGUACCACAUUGUGUGGUAGCAGAGCCCCUUCCUGACACGGCCUCUUCCCAUUGCUCGGAUGCCAACGCUCUCCUCCCCCCUCAGCGGUGGCUUUCGCGACGUUGCAUCCACAGCAUCAGCCCCUUUUUUUUUUUUGUCUCAUUGAGAUUCAGCUUGGCACACGGACAAUGCCCAUUUCUUGGCACCAAAUAUUGGAGAGAGCCACUCAAGGGAACCAACCUCAGUCUUUUUUACCUCGCAGACGUCCCCCUAAUCCGCCGAUCACCGUGGACCGGCGCCAACAAGCAAUGGGUGUAUUUCUUGGCGCAUUCAUCUGCUGAAUUUGCAGUUCCUUUGCCACCUGGGCAUUUAACAUGGAUAUCUUUGAUACCGUUGCCAUUCAGACGAGCUGCUCCGAAGCGGCAGAAGAACCAUCGCCAGUCAACUUGUCCCUGACACGGGACAGAGUGAGUCUUACAUGAACGUCACGCAUUGAUAACAUUAGUCCUUCGUUGUACUCUGCAGCAGAGCAGCCAUUUUCUCAUCAUCCGCAGCUGGCGGGUGAACCGUGAAAGUCAAAACACCACAUCCGAGUGUAUAAAAAAACGUUCAAUCCGCCCCCCCCCGAAUGGAUCGUAAUGGAGAUACGAAUUUGGGUUUACAUCUUGUACAGCUUUUGUUUAAAGGCACAAUCACAGACAGCAUAUUUUAGGAAAAUGAAGUUUGACCGACAAGUUCCCACUGCUUCCUGCAGAGGCAUCUGCCCUUAAGGCUGAGGUAGUAGAUUGAAUAGUUGUGGGGUCCCUGUCCUCCCUCUGAGAUAACUAUACAGUCUACUGUCUUUCCUUAGGAGACGGCUUGAUCUGCUGUGAGAAUGUACUCUGGAGUCUGCGCGAAUAAAGGAGCUCACUGACACACGGAGUUAAGAGAUAACAAGUCACGCCGUUUUUGAAUAGUUUUUAGUUUACAGUAACCGUCUGUUUGUUGGUUAUCGGAUCUCUGAUGUUAAUUCUUACGGUUUAGGUUGCUGUAGUUAUUUUCUCUGCGUGCCUAGAAAUUCUUAUUUCUUUAAAACAACGAUCCCUCGAGUUACACAACCGCAACUUUGUGUACUGACAAGACACUAUGAUGAAACUGGUCCAUAGUAACCACAUGUAACAAGUUGGCACAUAUUGAGCAGUACCUUCAUGUGUGCCUGAAGUUGAGCCUAGCGAGGUGAGGUAGUAGGUUGUAUAGUUUGUGGGAUUGAGUAAAUCCUACUCAGGUGAUAACUACACAGCCUAUUACCUUCCUUGAGAGGUACAAUGAGUGCUUGGAUUGAAGCUCACUCGUGCAGAGCGAGCGGCGUCGGAGCCCCUCUGAGGCCAUCGUGUGGACAAAGACUACCAUCACUUCGGAAAUUGAAAGAAAUAAAUGCAAACACUGGAAGCUUUGGGAACUCGAUUGUGUGUAUCUGCGAACAUAUUCACAAGGAAAUCAAUAUUUGUAUGUUUUAAUGUAUAUGUUGAUGAUGGCAAAUGAUGAGGAUGUAAUCAGACGCAGCAAUCAGUAGUUUAUCCUGUAAAAUCACUAAGAAUCCUAUUGAUAUCACCACAAUUUUUUGGUCAGUAUUUAACUUUGUUGCACGUAUGUGAUGCAGUAUAUCAAAUAUCUAAUAAAUGUAUAUAUUUGAAAGAAA
This is a non-coding RNA of Gasterosteus aculeatus aculeatus (three-spined stickleback), 4308 nucleotides long. NCBI's taxonomy places the organism in Eukaryota, Metazoa, Chordata, Actinopteri, Perciformes, Gasterosteidae. The record is from RefSeq and is a predicted model, not a curated record.